UACGGAGGGUGCAAACGUUGCUCGGAAUCAUUGGGCGUAAAGCGCGCGUAGGCGGCGAAGCAAGUUGGAUGUGAAAGCCCUGGGCUCAACCUAGGAUGUGCAUACAAAACUGCUUCGCUUGAAUCUCGGAGGGGGUCAGGGAAUUCCCGGUGUAGAGGUGAAAUUCGUAGAUAUCGGGAGGAACACCAGUGGCGAAGGCGCUGACCUGGACGAUGAUUGACGCUGAGGCGCGAAAGCGUGGGGAGCGAACAGG
This 253-nucleotide ribosomal RNA is filed under the name uncultured bacterium. Its description in RNAcentral is "partial 16S ribosomal RNA". It matches the Rfam family "Bacterial small subunit ribosomal RNA", at positions 524 to 776 of the family's 1533-position model. The record is from RNAcentral.